This 459-nucleotide non-coding RNA is filed under the name Pongo abelii (Sumatran orangutan). Lineage: Eukaryota; Metazoa; Chordata; Mammalia; Primates; Hominidae. The record is from RNAcentral.
GGACAUUCAUAGUUACUUGGGACAACAGUUUUAGCAGGGCUCUCUCCUUUCCUGAUCUCUGUGUUAAGCUGCCUGCCUCAUUUGAUAUCACAUCCAAAUUAUCAGCUGAUUGCUCUGUUGUUUUGGACAAUGCCCUGGGGCAUACCAAAAUGUGUCUGGAAUUGGUGGGUUCUUGGUCUUACUGACUUUAAGAAUAAAGUUGCAGACUUUUGUGAUGCCAAUAUUUUACCUCUUGGGUACUUUCUGUGUAGAAGAUUCAUAACAAGAACAAUGCUUAUUCUGCAAUUCUUUAUAUAAAGCUAAAAGAAAAUGCAUUCUGCCAACAACUAAUGAGCUUGGAAGAGAACUCCAAACCCCAGAAGAGGCCUGUCACAUUAGCUAACACCUUACUUUCCACCCACUGAGACCUUGAGCAGAGACUUCAGUUACACCCCACCCAGACUUCUGACCUGCAAAACU